Molecule: ribosomal RNA, 326 nt
Filed under: uncultured bacterium
Lineage: Bacteria
Description: bacterial SSU rRNA
Rfam family: Bacterial small subunit ribosomal RNA
Source: RNAcentral
GAUGAACGCUGGCGGCGUGCUUAACACAUGCAAGUCGAACGAAGCACUUAGGACGGAUUACUUCGGUUUGAAGUUCUAUUUGACUGAGUGGCGGACGGGUGAGUAACGCGUGGGUAACCUGCCUCAUACAGGGGGAUAACAGUUAGAAAUGACUGCUAAUACCGCAUAAGCGCACGGAAUCGCAUGGUUUUGUGUGAAAAACUUUGGUGGUAUGAGAUGGACCCGCGUCUGAUUAGCUGGUUGGUGAGGUAACGGCCCACCAAGGCGACGAUCAGUAGCCGGCCUGAGAGGGUGAACGGCCACAUUGGGACUGAGACACGGCCCAA